RNAcentral lists this ribosomal RNA (936 nucleotides) under Bacillus licheniformis. RNAcentral describes it as "bacterial SSU rRNA". It matches the Rfam family "Bacterial small subunit ribosomal RNA", at positions 1 to 888 of the family's 1533-position model. The record is from RNAcentral. Lineage: Bacteria; Bacillati; Bacillota; Bacilli; Caryophanales; Bacillaceae.
CACCUUGUUGGUUGUUUGGGGGGGGGGGGUUUUUUUAGAGGUUAUUACACAGCUCAGGACGAACGCUGGCGGCGUGCCUAAUACAUGCAAGUCGAGCGGACAGAUGGGAGCUUGCUCCCUGAUGUUAGCGGCGGACGGGUGAGUAACACGUGGGUAACCUGCCUGUAAGACUGGGAUAACUCCGGGAAACCGGGGCUAAUACCGGAUGCUUGAUUGAACCGCAUGGUUCAAUUAUAAAAGGUGGCUUUUAGCUACCACUUACAGAUGGACCCGCGGCGCAUUAGCUAGUUGGUGAGGUAACGGCUCACCAAGGCGACGAUGCGUAGCCGACCUGAGAGGGUGAUCGGCCACACUGGGACUGAGACACGGCCCAGACUCCUACGGGAGGCAGCAGUAGGGAAUCUUCCGCAAUGGACGAAAGUCUGACGGAGCAACGCCGCGUGAGUGAUGAAGGUUUUCGGAUCGUAAAACUCUGUUGUUAGGGAAGAACAAGUACCGUUCGAAUAGGGCGGUACCUUGACGGUACCUAACCAGAAAGCCACGGCUAACUACGUGCCAGCAGCCGCGGUAAUACGUAGGUGGCAAGCGUUGUCCGGAAUUAUUGGGCGUAAAGCGCGCGCAGGCGGUUUCUUAAGUCUGAUGUGAAAGCCCCCGGCUCAACCGGGGAGGGUCAUUGGAAACUGGGGAACUUGAGUGCAGAAGAGGAGAGUGGAAUUCCACGUGUAGCGGUGAAAUGCGUAGAGAUGUGGAGGAACACCAGUGGCGAAGGCGACUCUCUGGUCUGUAACUGACGCUGAGGCGCGAAAGCGUGGGGAGCGAACAGGAUUAGAUACCCUGGUAGUCCACGCCGUAAACGAUGAGUGCUAAGUGUUAGAGGGUUUCCGCCCUUUAGUGCUGCAGCAAACGCAUAAGCACUCCGCCUGGAGACUCCGUUCG